Molecule: long non-coding RNA, 557 nt
Organism: Papaver somniferum (opium poppy)
Lineage: Eukaryota; Viridiplantae; Streptophyta; Magnoliopsida; Ranunculales; Papaveraceae
Exons: 3
Source: RefSeq, a predicted model, not a curated record
UAUUCCAACCCAUGCUGAAUGACUUUUAUGUGCAAUAUGCCGUGGAACUAAUAAUUAAACGGACAAGGAGUGUAUCACCCUUGCUUACGCGACAAUGCAUGGAUGGCUCCUGAAGUUAUAUAUAAUGAGCCGGCAGAUGCGAAAAUUCUUUGCCGUUGUUCGUGGACGAACGACUUGAAAUGCCUGAAGAUAUUGACAUCCAAUGGGAAUCUAUCAUCAAGACUUGCUUGCACAGGUGCGUAUUCUGUGGAAUGCUGCUAUAUGAACCCAUGUAACAUAAAAUCGUAGGGAAAUUUCAUACUGUUCAAUUUUCUACUUUGUUUUCCUUUGAUGAAAACUUAGGGACACAAAAUGCAAAUACAUAAGAAAAAAGAUUGGGAAAACAAGCACAGUCUACUGACAUUAGAAGAUGAGCCAUAGACAAGUAUCAAAAACAAAUAUGUAUUUUUUGUCUCUCCGCAAUUUUGUUGGUAUGAAGGUUGAAAGGGUAUGUUCUUUCUGCUUGAUGUAUGUCAAUCUAAUUAACAGUUAUAAAAAUUAAUAUUUUAUUCUCAGGA